This 238-nucleotide ribosomal RNA is filed under the name uncultured bacterium. Its description in RNAcentral is "partial 16S ribosomal RNA". It matches the Rfam family "Bacterial small subunit ribosomal RNA", at positions 96 to 334 of the family's 1533-position model. The record is from RNAcentral.
CGGCGGACGGGUGAGUAACGCGUGGGUAACCUACCCUGUACACACGGAUAACAUACCGAAAGGUAUGCUAAUACGGGAUAAUAUAUUUGAGAGGCAUCUCUUGAAUGUCAAAGGUGAGCCAGUACAGGAUGGACCCGCGUCUGAUUAGCUAGUUGGUAAGGUAACGGCUUACCAAGGCGACGAUCAGUAGCCGACCUGAGAGGGUGAUCGGCCACAUUGGAACUGAGACACGGUCCAA